This 450-nucleotide ribosomal RNA is filed under the name Cryptosporidium sp. A7. Its description in RNAcentral is "SSU rRNA". It matches the Rfam family "Eukaryotic small subunit ribosomal RNA", at positions 260 to 715 of the family's 1831-position model. The record is from RNAcentral. Lineage: Eukaryota; Apicomplexa; Conoidasida; Eucoccidiorida; Cryptosporidiidae.
CUUUACGGAUCACAUUUAUAUGUGACAUAUCAUUCAAGUUUCUGACCUAUCAGCUUUAGACGGUAAGGUAUUGGCCUACCGUGGCAAUGACGGGUAACGGGGAAUUAGGGUUCGAUUCCGGAGAGGGAGCCUGAGAAACGGCUACCACAUCUAAGGAAGGCAGCAGGCGCGCAAAUUACCCAAUCCUAAUACAGGGAGGUAGUGACAAGAAAUAACAAUACAGGACUUUAAAUAGUUUUGUAAUUGGAAUGAGUUAAGUAUAAACCCCUUUACAAGUAUCAAUUGGAGGGCAAGUCUGGUGCCAGCAGCCGCGGUAAUUCCAGCUCCAAUAGCGUAUAUUAAAGUUGUUGCAGUUAAAAAGCUCGUAGUUGGAUUUCUGUUAAUAAUUUAUAUAUAAUAUUUUAUUAAUAUUUAUAUAGUAUUAACAUAAUUCAUAUUACUAUUUUUUAU